CCUACGGGAGGCAGCAGUGGGGAAUAUUUGCACAAUGGGGGAAACCCUGAUGCAGCGACGCCGCGUGGAGGAAGAAGGUCUUCGGAUUGUAAACUCCUGUUGUUGAGGAAGAUAAUGACGGUACUCAACAAGGAAGUGACGGCUAACUACGUGC
Molecule: ribosomal RNA, 154 nt
Filed under: uncultured bacterium
Lineage: Bacteria
Description: partial 16S ribosomal RNA
Rfam family: Bacterial small subunit ribosomal RNA
Source: RNAcentral